AGCAGUAGCCGCGGGAAAACGGAGGGUGCAAGCGUUAAUCGGAAUUACUGGGCGUAAAGCGCACGCAGGCGGUCUGUCAAGUCAGAUGUGAAAUCCCCGGGCUUAACCUGGGAACUGCAUUUGAAACUGGCAGGCUAGAGUCUUGUAGAGGGGGGUAGAAUUCCAGGUGUAGCGGUGAAAUGCGUAGAGAUCUGGAGGAAUACCGGUGGCGAAGGCGGCCCCCUGGACAAAGACUGACGCUCAGGUGCGAAAGCGUGGGGAGCAAACAGGAUUAGAUACCCGUGUAGUCCCUGUCUCUUAUAC
Molecule: ribosomal RNA, 303 nt
Filed under: uncultured bacterium
Lineage: Bacteria
Description: partial 16S ribosomal RNA
Rfam family: Bacterial small subunit ribosomal RNA
Source: RNAcentral